GUGGAUGUACCUCUGUGGUAGAGGAUUUGCCAAGAAAGCAAGAGGCUCUGGGUUCAAUCCCAGUACCACC
Molecule: non-coding RNA, 70 nt
Organism: Ictidomys tridecemlineatus (thirteen-lined ground squirrel)
Lineage: Eukaryota; Metazoa; Chordata; Mammalia; Rodentia; Sciuridae
Source: Rfam